UAGGGAAUCUUCCGCAAUGGGCGAAAGCCUGACGGAGCAACGCCGCGUGAGUGAUGAAGGUCUUCGGAUCGUAAAACUCUGUUAUUAGGGAAGAACAAAUGUGUAAGUAACUAUGCACGUCUUGACGGUACCUAAUCAGAAAGCCACGGCUAACUACGUGCCAGCAGCCGCGGUAAUACGUAGGUGGCAAGCGUUAUCCGGAAUUAUUGGGCGUAAAGCGCGCGUAGGCGGUUUUUUAAGUCUGAUGUGAAAGCCCACGGCUCAACCGUGGAGGGUCAUUGGAAACUGGAAAACUUGAGUGCAGAAGAGGGAAGUUGAAUUCCAUGUGUAGCGGUGAAAUGCGCAGAGAUAUGGAGGAACACCAGUGGCGAAGGCGACUUUCUGGUCUGUAAAUGACGCUAAUGUGCGAAAGCGUGGGGAUCAAACAGG
This 429-nucleotide ribosomal RNA is filed under the name Actinomycetes bacterium. Its description in RNAcentral is "Actinobacteria bacterium partial 16S ribosomal RNA". It matches the Rfam family "Bacterial small subunit ribosomal RNA", at positions 355 to 776 of the family's 1533-position model. Lineage: Bacteria; Bacillati; Actinomycetota; Actinomycetes. The record is from RNAcentral.